CGAGGCAAAUCAUCACAGAACCUGGAAAUACAAGCCUGAGCGGUCUAAAGGGUUUCGGCAUAUGAAUCAAAUCAAUGGCGGGACUUCACAACAAAAAUAAAGACGCAACAAAGCAACUGGGAACGAUCAAGGUCACCAAACCGACCGUCAUUUCCGAACUAACAAAUGUCCUUUGUCUGAAAAGUUGAAACAGGUGUAAUCCAAGACAACCGUGCAAGAAGCAGGUGUCGCCCAAAGAAGAAGAUACAUGGGUACAAGAAAUAUUUUGGCAACAAGGAAUUCACUCGAAAGGUAAGUUUCCACGAAACUCCCUUUUAUCUUCUACUAAAACAGGAAAAUUCAAAAAAAGAGGUUGCUUAGUAUUCUCGAACUUUGUCCCCAGCCAGCAAGCAUUAGGGUUUUAAACCCUAAACUGAACUUUUUCCAUGCAAUCAGCAUUAGGGUUUUAAACCCUAAACUGAAUUUUCCUUUAGUCAGCAUUAGGGUUUUAAACCCUAAACUGAACUUUUUUCCUUUAGUCAGCAUUAGGGGUUUAAACCCUAAAGUGAACUUUUUUCCUUUAGACAGCAUUAAGGUUUUAAACCCUAAACUGAACUUUUUUCCCUUCAGCCAGCAUUAGGGUUUUAAACCCUAAACUGAGCUUUUCCAUGCAAUCAGCAUUAGGGUUUUAAACCCUAAACUGAAUUUUCCCUUUAGUCAGCAUUAGGGUUUUAAACCCUAAACUGAAUUUUUCCUUUAAUCAGCAUUAGGGUUUUAAACCCUAACUAAACUUUUUUCCAUUCAGCCAGCAUUAGGGUUUUAAACCCUAAACUGAGCUUUUCCAUGCAAUCAGCAUUAGGGUUUUAAACCCUAAACUGACCUUUUUCCUUUAAUCAGCAUUAGGGUUUUAAACCCUAAACUAACCUUUUUCCUUUAAUCAGCAUUAGGGUUUUAAACCCUAAACUGAACUUUUUUCCAUUCAGCCAGCAUUAGGGUUUUAAACCCUAAACUGAACUUUUUUCCAUUCAGCCAGCAUUAGGGCUUUAAACCCUAAACUGAGCUUUUCCAUGCAAUCAGCAUUAGGGUUUUAAACCCUAAACUGAACUCUUUUCCUUUCAGCCAGCAUUAGGGUUUUAAACCCUAAACUGAAC
RNAcentral lists this long non-coding RNA (1130 nucleotides) under Nicotiana tabacum (common tobacco). Its description in RNAcentral is "long non-coding RNA (NTAB_LNC013345)". Lineage: Eukaryota; Viridiplantae; Streptophyta; Magnoliopsida; Solanales; Solanaceae. The record is from RNAcentral.